RNAcentral lists this ribosomal RNA (460 nucleotides) under uncultured bacterium. RNAcentral's name for it is "partial 16S ribosomal RNA". It matches the Rfam family "Bacterial small subunit ribosomal RNA", at positions 338 to 795 of the family's 1533-position model. The record is from RNAcentral.
CCUACGGGAGGCAGCAGUGAGGAAUAUUGGUCAAUGGACGAGAGUCUGAACCAGCCAAGUAGCGUGAAGGAUGACUGCCCUAUGGGUUGUAAACUUCUUUUAUAUGGGAAUAAAACAGGGUAUGCAUACCCUCUUGUAUGUACCAUAUGAAUAAGGAUCGGCUAACUCCGUGCCAGCAGCCGCGGUAAUACGGAGGAUCCGAGCGUUAUCCGGAUUUAUUGGGGUUAAAGGGAGCGUAGGUGGAUUGUUAAGUCAGUUGUGAAAGUUUGCGGCUCAACCGUAAAAUUGCAGUUGAAACUGGCAGUCUUGAGUACAGUAGAGGUGGGCAGAAUUCGUGGUGUAGCGGUGAAAUGCUUAGAGAUCACGAAGAACUCCGAUUGCGAAGGCAGCUCACUGGACUGCAACUGACACUGAUGCUCGAAAGUGUGGGGAUCAAACAGGAUUAGAUACCCUAGUAGUC